This 497-nucleotide ribosomal RNA is filed under the name uncultured bacterium. RNAcentral's name for it is "partial 16S ribosomal RNA". It matches the Rfam family "Bacterial small subunit ribosomal RNA", at positions 28 to 507 of the family's 1533-position model. The record is from RNAcentral.
GAUGAACGCUGGCGGCGUGCCUAAUACAUGCAAGUCGAGCGAACAGACGAGGAGCUUGCUCCUUUGACGUUAGCGGCGGACGGGUGAGUAACACGUAGUUAACCUACCUAUAAGACUGGGAUAACUUCGGGAACCCGGCGCUAAUACCGGAUAAUAUUUCGAACCGCAUGGUUCGAUAGUGAAAGAUGGCUUUGCUAUUACUUAUAGAUGGACCUGCGCCGUAUUAGCUAGUUGGUAAGGUAACGGUUUCCCAAGGCAACGAUACGUAGCCGACCUGAGAGGGUGAGCAGCCACACUGGAACUGAGACAAGGUCCAGACUCCGACGGGAGGCAGCAGUAGUGAAACUUACGCAAUGGGCGAAAGCCUGACGGAGCAACGCCGCGUGAGUGAUGAAGGUCUUCGGAUCGUAAAAAUCUGUUAUUAGGGAAGAACAAACGUGUAAGUAACUGUGCACGUCUUGACGGUACCUAAUCAGAAAGCCACGGCUAACUACGUG